GCGCGCAAAUUACCCAAUCCUGACACGGGGAGGUAGUGACAAUAAAUAACAAUACCGGGCGCGUUAGUGUCUGGUAAUUGGAAUGAGUACAAUCUAAAUCCCUUAACGAGGAACCAUUGGAGGGCAAGUCUGGUGCCAG
RNAcentral lists this ribosomal RNA (139 nucleotides) under uncultured bacterium. Its description in RNAcentral is "partial 16S rRNA". It matches the Rfam family "Eukaryotic small subunit ribosomal RNA", at positions 432 to 570 of the family's 1831-position model. The record is from RNAcentral.